RNAcentral lists this long non-coding RNA (1830 nucleotides) under Canis lupus familiaris (dog). RNAcentral describes it as "lncRNA (ENSCAFG00040018430.1)". Lineage: Eukaryota; Metazoa; Chordata; Mammalia; Carnivora; Canidae. The record is from RNAcentral.
ACUGCCCACGGCCUGGAUCACGGGCGUCCGCGGCCACUGCACGGCCAGGCCCACAGGCGCAGGGCGCAGGGGAGGGGCGACCUGGGUCACCAGCCCCGGAUUCCUCCGCACACCUCCGCGGCGGGGAGCGCGUCCCGGGGCGUCGCGGGCUCCGCGUUCCCGAGCAGCGCCCCGACGUCCGGCUCCCCGCCCCGCCUCCUGCCCGCAGGGCCGCCCGGGAAGUGGGGGAACGAGCCCGGGGCUUGGGGGCAGGGACCCGAGGUCAGGGGGAGGCGCCGGCAGGCCCGCGGGUCGCAGCGGGAGCCAGAGGCCCCGCCCCGCUCCGGCCCCGGCCCCGCCCCUUCCGCUCCCGGGCCUCGGCCCCGCCCCCACGUCGCCACGCCCCCCUCCGCCGCCCCCUGGUCUCGCGAUGCCUGCGCCUUCUCGCGACGCCAGCCGGGAGGCGGGCCGGGCCCUGACUGGCGCUGCCGGGGGCGGCUCCGCGGGGCGGGGCGGGCGAGCAGUCCUCGCGGAUCAUGGCUGCCCUGCGCGUCCUGCUGCCCCUCGUCCGCGGCCCGCUGCGCCCCCAGCCCCGCUGCGCCGCCCUGCGCCGCUUCGCCUCCGGUGAGCGGGGGGCUGAGGCCGCUGGGGGCUGACGCCGCCGCCGCGCCCCCGCCCCGGACCCCACCCCUCCGCCGGCCGGACCCCCGACCUCGCCCCUCCUCCACCGCGACCCCCCGACCUCAUCCCUCCUCCACCGCGACCCCGACCUCGCCCUCCUCCACCGCGACCCCCCGACCUCGCCCCUCCUCCACCGCGACCCCCGACCUCGCCCCUCCUCCGGCCAGACCCCCGACCUCACCCCUCCUCCACCCCGACCCCCCGACCUCACCCCUCCUCCUGCCGGACCCCGACCUCGCCCCUCCUCCACCGCGACCCCCGACCUCAUCCCUCCUCCACCGCGACCCCCCCCCCCCCCCCCCCCCCCCCCUCGCCCCUCCUCCACCGCGACCCCCCCCCCCCUCCCCGCCCCCCGACCCCCCCCCCCCCCCCCCCCGACCCACCCCCCUCCGCCGACCCCCGACCUCGCCCCUCCUCCACCGCGACCCCCCGACCUCAUCCCUCCUCCACCGCGACCCCCGACCUCGCCCCCUCCACCGCGACCCCCCGACCUCGCCCCUCCUCCACCGCGACCCCCGACCUCGCCCCUCCUCCGGCCAGACCCCCGACCUCACCCCUCCUCCACCCCGACCCCCCGACCUCACCCCUCCUCCUGCCGGACCCCCGACCUCACCCCUCCUCCACCCCGACCCCCCGACCUCACCCCUCCUCCUGCCGGACCCCCGACCUCGCCCUCCUCCACCCCGACCCCGACCUCACCCCUCCUCCUGCCGACCCCGACCUCGCCCCUCCUCCACCGACCCCGACCUCCCCUCCUCCACCCCGACCCCCCGACCUCGCCCCUCCUCCACCCCGACCCCCGACCUCACCCCUCCUCCGGCCAGACCCCCGACCUCACCCCUCCUCCACCCCGACCCCCCGACCUCACCCCUCCUCCUGCCGGACCCCCGACCUCACCCCUCCUCCACCCCGACCCCCCGACCUCACCCCUCCUCCUGCCGGACCCCCCGACCUCACCCCUCCUCCACCCCGACCCCCGACCUCACCCUCCUCCUGCCGGACCCCCGACCUCACCCCUCCUCCACCCCAACCCCCCGACCUCACCCCUCCUCCUGCCGGACCCCCGACCUCACCCCUCCGACCCCCCGACCUCACCCCUCCUCCGGCCAGACCCCCCGACCUCACCCCUCCUCCACCCCAACCCCUGGACCUCGCCCUCCUCCACUCUGA